This 874-nucleotide ribosomal RNA is filed under the name Heteroradulum kmetii. Its description in RNAcentral is "eukaryotic LSU rRNA". It matches the Rfam family "Eukaryotic large subunit ribosomal RNA", at positions 76 to 941 of the family's 3401-position model. The record is from RNAcentral. Lineage: Eukaryota; Fungi; Basidiomycota; Agaricomycetes; Auriculariales; Auriculariaceae.
UCCCCUAGUAACGGCGAGUGAAGCGGGAAGAGCUCAAAUUUGAAAUCUGGCGGUCUACGGCCGUCCGAGUUGUAAUCUAGAGAGGUGUUUUCCGUGCCGGACCGUGUACAAGUCCCUUGGAACAGGGCGUCAUAGAGGGUGAGAAUCCCGUCCAUGACACGGACUACCGGUGCUCUGUGAUACACCUUCAAAGAGUCGAGUUGUUUGGGAAUGCAGCUCAAAAUGGGUGGUAAAUUCCAUCUAAAGCUAAAUACAGGCGAGAGACCGAUAGCGAACAAGUACCGUGAGGGAAAGAUGAAAAGAACUUUGGAAAGAGAGUUAAACAGUACGUGAAAUUGUUGAAAGGGAAACGCUUGAAGUCAGUCGCGUCUGCCAGGACUCAGCCUUGCUUCUGCAUGGUGCAUUUCCUGGUGGAUGGGCCAGCAUCGAUUUUGGUCGCCGGACAAGGGCGGGAGGAAUGUGGCAGCUUGCUGUGUUAUAGCCUCCCGUCGUACACGGUGGUUGGGAUCGAGGACUGCAGCACGCCUUUGGUCGGGGUUCGCCCACGCCACGUGCUUAGGAUGCUGGCGUAAUGGCUUUAAACGACCCGUCUUGAAACACGGACCAAGGAGUCUAACAUGCCUGCGAGUGUUUGGGCGUUAAACCCAGGCGCGUAAUGAAAGUGAAAAGUUGGGACUCUUUAGUGAGGCACCGACGCCCGAUCCUGACGUUCUCUGACGGAUUUGAGGUAGAGCAUGUAUGUUGGGACCCGAAAGAUGGUGAACUAUGCCUGAAUAGGGUGAAGCCAGAGGAAACUCUGGUGGAGGCUCGUAGCGAUUCUGACGUGCAAAUCGAUCGUCAAAUUUGGGUAUAGGGGCGAAAGACUAAUCGAACC